GUAGGAACAGAGAGAAAUCAAGACAGAGAGAAUCAGAGCAGACCUGUACUGAUAACAUGUAGAGACUCAUCAUUGGUUUCCUGGAAGAGAAGCCUAUGUAUCUUUGACGUCUCUUCAGGUAACUGGAUGGCCCCCGGAGUAGCACUCUGUCAAGUCAGUAACUGUAAGAAUUGGAGCUCUCAGCAAUGGCAGACAACUGCUGAAGGAAUUCUGCUUCUUACACUGGGGAGGAGCUUGGCUAAUGUCAAGGUUCGGUCCCGAACUGAACCUCUUGGAGGCAAAUACAAGCGAUGUGGCUAGUUAAGACAGCCAACGGCUAUAUAAGUAGGCUGAGGCCACUGGAGUUUUGCCCAGGAAAUGGGAGUUUUGAAGGUACCAACCUGUGCACUAACUGAUCUCCUUCUGUCGAGCUCCUCCCUGGUGUCAGCCUCCCCAGCAGCUGCCCCCAGUGUUCCAAGGUCUUGCCCCACAGUGUCUCUUCAUGCUCCGGGCAUGAAAAUGAGCGUUUACUGUGGGUGAGCCAUCUCUCCAGAGGGUGACUCAGCAAUGCUGCUGGUAUUCAUUUUAUAAAAUCUCUGACUUGGACCUGGACUUAGAGAGGGGACCAUUUCAUGAUCUGGGCUGCUGAGUGAAAAACAUCAAGGAACAUUUCCAAAGGGCAAAGUUUACAAGCUGCAAACCCCAGAUUCUGUAAUAGCAUGAUCUGGCUUGAGUGGGAUGGAUUGAGAAAGCGAUUAAGGAAAGAUGGUGGAAAAGUUAAAACAGCAAAACGUACCUGAGCACAAUAGUUCUUGCAGUCAGUCAACAAGUAUCUAUUAAACAUCUGCUAAGUACCAGCACUAAUGAGCAUUGAAUCCUGGACAGAAGGAAUCUCUCUGUCCCCACAUUGAAGAAAUUGUUCUAUAGGCCCUCUCUAAGGUCCCAGGAAGGCAAAGUGGGGCUUCAAAUGAAUAUAUUCUGUGUUUAGAUUGCACUCUCUCGCCCCUUCCCGGUAGAAUCUAAGCUUUUUGAGGUCAGGGAUUAUUUCUUUGUUGUCCUGGUAUCACUAGGUAUCCCAGCACCUAGUACAUUUUUUUUUCACGUGAAAACUUAUAUAAUUAUGUAACUUACGUAACUUUGUAUAAACUUAC
This 1130-nucleotide long non-coding RNA is filed under the name Vombatus ursinus (common wombat). Its description in RNAcentral is "lncRNA (ENSVURG00010012619.1)". The record is from RNAcentral. Lineage: Eukaryota; Metazoa; Chordata; Mammalia; Diprotodontia; Vombatidae.